This 537-nucleotide ribosomal RNA is filed under the name Rhinella lilyrodriguezae. RNAcentral's name for it is "partial 16S ribosomal RNA". It matches the Rfam family "Bacterial large subunit ribosomal RNA", at positions 1819 to 2572 of the family's 2925-position model. Lineage: Eukaryota; Metazoa; Chordata; Amphibia; Anura; Bufonidae. The record is from RNAcentral.
CGCCUCUUGAAUUUUAUAAGAGGUCCAGCCUGCCCAGUGACUUUGUUCAACGGCCGCGGUAUCCUAACCGUGCGAAGGUAGCGUAAUCAUUUGUUCUUUAAAUUAGGACUAGUAUGAACGGCAUCACGAAGGUUUUACUGUCUCCUUUUUCCAAUCAGUGAAACUAAUCUUCCCGUGAAGAAGCGGGAAUAUAAGUAUAAGACGAGAAGACCCUAUGGAGCUUAAAACAAUUCAACACUUGCUUAAAUAUUUAAAAAUUUCAGAACUUCGAACUCUUCAAGCAACAUGAUUGUAAAGUUUUUGGUUGGGGUGACCACGGAGUAUAAUGCAACCUCCCUGUUGAAAGUUCUUCUAAGCUAAGAAUUACUUAUCUAAGCAUCAACACACUGACACUCCUUGACCCAAUAUAUUUGAUCAACGAACCAAGUUACCCUAGGGAUAACAGCGCAAUCUACUUCAAGAGCCCCUAUCGACAAGUAGGUUUACGACCUCGAUGUUGGAUCAGGGUAUCCUAGUGGUGUAGCCGCUACUAAAGGU